Molecule: ribosomal RNA, 253 nt
Filed under: uncultured bacterium
Lineage: Bacteria
Description: partial 16S ribosomal RNA
Rfam family: Bacterial small subunit ribosomal RNA
Source: RNAcentral
UACGUAGGUGGCAAGCGUUGUCCGGAAUUACUGGGUGUAAAGCGCGUGUAGGCGGGAGGCCAAGUCUGCUGUGAAAUCGCCCGGCUCAACUGGGCGGGGUCGGUGGAAACUGGUCACCUGGAGGACGGUAGAGGCGAGUGGAAUUCCCGGUGUAGUGGUGAAAUGCGUAGAGAUCGGGAGGAACACCAGUGGCGAAGGCGGCUCGCUGGGCCGGACCUGACGCUGAGACGCGAAAGCGUGGGGAGCAAACAGG